RNAcentral lists this ribosomal RNA (465 nucleotides) under uncultured bacterium. RNAcentral's name for it is "bacterial SSU rRNA". It matches the Rfam family "Bacterial small subunit ribosomal RNA", at positions 335 to 792 of the family's 1533-position model. The record is from RNAcentral.
ACUCCUACGGGAGGCAGCAGUGGGGAAUAUUGCACAAUGGGCGCAAGCCUGAUGCAGCCAUGCCGCGUGUGUGAAGAAGGCCUUCGGGUUGUAAAGCACUUUCAGUCGUGAGGAAGGUAGUGUAGUUAAUAGCUGCAUUAUUUGACGUUAGCGACAGAAGAAGCACCGGCUAACUCCGUGCCAGCAGCCGCGGUAAUACGGAGGGUGCGAGCGUUAAUCGGAAUUACUGGGCGUAAAGCGCAUGCAGGUGGUUUGUUAAGUCAGAUGUGAAAGCCCGGGGCUCAACCUCGGAAUAGCAUUUGAAACUGGCAGACUAGAGUACUGUAGAGGGGGGUAGAAUUUCAGGUGUAGCGGUGAAAUGCGUAGAGAUCUGAAGGAAUACCGGUGGCGAAGGCGGCCCCCUGGACAGAUACUGACACUCAGAUGCGAAAGCGUGGGGAGCAAACAGGAUUAGAUACCCUGGUA